AAUACAUGCAAGUCGAACGGUCUUUAGCAAUAGAGAUAGUGGCGCACGGGUGCGUAACGCGUAACCAACCUACCUGAAUCUGGGGGAUAGCCCGCCGAAAGGCGGAUUAAUACCGCAUAAAACUGCAGAACGGCAUCGUUUANAGUUAAAGAUUUAUUGGAUUCAGAUGGGGUUGCGUGCCAUUAGCUAGUUGGGGGAGGUAACGGCUCACCNAGGCGACGAUGGCUAGGGGAGCUGANAGGCUGGUCCCCCACNCGGGCACUGAGAUACNGGCCCGACUCCUACNGGANGCAGCAGUAGGGAANNNUGGGGCAAUGGGACGAGAGUCUGACCCANCCNUGCCGCGUGGCA
RNAcentral lists this ribosomal RNA (351 nucleotides) under uncultured bacterium. Its description in RNAcentral is "partial 16S ribosomal RNA". It matches the Rfam family "Bacterial small subunit ribosomal RNA", at positions 50 to 406 of the family's 1533-position model. The record is from RNAcentral.